This is an RNA transcript of Oryza sativa Japonica Group (Japanese rice), 4506 nucleotides long. It is a transcript of the gene named heterogeneous nuclear ribonucleoprotein 1, with no coding region annotated. The record is from RefSeq and is a predicted model, not a curated record. NCBI's taxonomy places the organism in Eukaryota, Viridiplantae, Streptophyta, Magnoliopsida, Poales, Poaceae.
AAACCCUCCAAAUCUCCGCCCCCCACCUCCCCUCCCCGACGCCGAAAUCCCCCAAAUUCCACCCCCGCCUCCUCCUCCUCCUCGCGUCGCGAGAGAAUCCGAGGCGCGCGAGCGAGAGGAAGGAGAGAAGGUGAGAGCAGCGGCGGAGGGAGGAGAUGGAGUCGGAUCAGGGGAAGCUGUUCAUCGGCGGCAUCUCGUGGGAGACCACCGAGGAGAAGCUCCGCGACCACUUCGCCGCCUACGGCGACGUCUCCCAGGCCGCCGUCAUGCGCGACAAGCUCACCGGCCGCCCCCGCGGCUUCGGCUUCGUCGUCUUCUCCGACCCUUCCUCCGUCGACGCCGCCCUCGUCGACCCCCACACCCUCGACGGCCGCACGGUUGAUGUGAAGCGGGCGCUCUCGCGGGAGGAGCAGCAGGCCGCGAAGGCGGCGAACCCUAGCGCGGGGGGGAGGCACGCCUCCGGUGGGGGCGGUGGUGGGGGAGGCGCCGGUGGUGGUGGUGGUGGCGGCGGUGGUGACGCCGGCGGUGCGCGGACGAAGAAGAUCUUCGUCGGCGGGCUGCCCUCCAACCUGACGGAGGACGAGUUCCGGCAGUACUUCCAGACCUACGGGGUCGUCACCGACGUCGUCGUCAUGUACGACCAGAACACGCAGCGGCCGAGGGGGUUCGGGUUCAUCACCUUCGACGCGGAGGACGCCGUUGACCGCGUGCUGCACAAGACCUUCCAUGACCUGAGCGGGAAGAUGGUGGAGGUGAAGCGCGCCCUGCCCAGGGAGGCCAACCCUGGCUCCGGCAGUGGUGGCCGUUCCAUGGGAGGCGGCGGUGGGGGUUACCAGAGUAACAAUGGGCCGAACUCCAAUUCUGGGGGCUAUGAUAGCAGAGGUGACGCUAGCAGGUAUGGUCAGGCGCAGCAGGGUAGUGGUGGUUAUCCCGGUUAUGGUGCUGGAGGAUAUGGUGCUGGUACGGUUGGUUAUGGAUAUGGGCAUGCUAACCCUGGAACUGCGUAUGGGAAUUAUGGGGCUGGAGGAUUUGGAGGUGUUCCUGCUGGGUAUGGUGGGCAUUAUGGCAAUCCAAAUGCGCCUGGUUCAGGUUACCAGGGUGGUCCUCCAGGAGCAAACAGAGGACCAUGGGGUGGUCAAGCUCCGUCUGGUUAUGGCACUGGGAGUUAUGGUGGCAAUGCAGGCUAUGCUGCUUGGAACAACUCUUCUGCUGGAGGUAAUGCACCCACUAGUCAGGCCGCUGGUGCAGGCACAGGCUAUGGGAGCCAGGGCUAUGGAUAUGGUGGAUAUGGAGGAGAUGCAUCGUAUGGUAAUCAUGGUGGAUAUGGGGGUUAUGGAGGAAGGGGAGAUGGUGCUGGCAAUCCAGCUGCUGGCGGUGGAUCUGGGUAUGGUGCUGGCUAUGGAAGCGGGAAUGGCGGUUCUGGUUAUCCAAAUGCUUGGGCUGAUCCUUCACAAGGUGGAGGGUUUGGGGCUUCAGUCAAUGGAGUGUCUGAAGGCCAAUCAAAUUAUGGCAGUGGUUAUGGUGGUGUGCAACCUAGGGUUGCUCAGUAAAUGAGGCCAUUAGAGCAUCUAUGAGAUGAACCAGCAAAAUUGGGCAGUCUAUGUAUGUUGUGUUACCCUGGCCCCUCUGAUUGCUUUUGGCCUCUUGAAGAUCUCCCAUUUGCUGGUUAAAUCAGUAUUUCUCCGGGUUGGAUGCGAUGCCAUUUCCUUUUAGAGCAUGUCCAAGUGGGGCCUUUUGAAUCAACUGCCUGGCUGCCUGAGAAAUGGCAGAGACAUCGACUGAUUUUGCUUGAUGGGCUGACGAUUUCCAAUCUUGAAGCAUUUGACACAGAAAGCAAGCAUCUUGUUUUUAAGCGCUUCAUUUUCUGAAGGAUCUUGUGCUGUGCAACAAGAUGGUGGUAUGUGGAAUCAUGUUUCACUUUCAGUUUUAUUUGGAAAAGAAAAGCAUUUUCACCAUGGUACUUGUACCAGGAAAGUUGUUCAAGAUGCUAUCUGUCCUCAUUUUCCGUUCAAUUUAGUAAAUGGUAUAUUAUAGUUGAAAGAAAGCAUUACCAGCUACCAUAGGAAGUAUUAUGUUUUCAUUCAAAAUCUUGUCAAUUUUGGCCAGAGUUCCAUCCCCAAUGUACAGAUCGACAAUGGUGAAUUACUAUCAGUUUAGUAAAUAAUAAUAAAUUAGAAGGUUUUUCAAAAGAAUAAUUCCAUGAUCUAAUGUAUGUUUUUACCUUUUUAGAUACGCAUAUUUGCUAGUAAAACUAGUGAUGAAAGUUGUGUCAUGGAGAUCUAGGAAAAGAACAACACUUGUAUACCUAGAGGUGAUGCAUUUUUUGAAAAUCUGUUUUACUGGCUUAACAAAUUUAGUCACUAAUAAAACUAGUGAUGAAAGUUGUGUCAUGGAUUAGUGCACAAGUUUUGCAAACAGAAUUUGGCUUAAACAAACAGUUUGGAUGAGUAAUUCCUUAACUUUUUCCCCUUAUUUACUAAAUUGAUGAGCAUGAUUUAAGUUGUACUUACAGUCUUGCACACUGGCAUGAUGUUUUACAAGUUUUUGGAAGUACUGGAAACCUAGGAUCCAAUAUCCUAGUUUGAGAAAACAACACUCAUAUUGCUUGUUCCUGUUAAUAAGCCUGGGUAGCAUGUUCAUCGCUCAGCUAUGCCUUGCUCGGUUGCUAUUGUUGGAUGGAUAGAAGUGGAAAAAAGGGGGGGGAGGGAAUCAGUCUAUGAUUAUAUACUUGUAUGGUUCAAUGUAGAUUAAAAUCCAAGGCUUUGACUUAAGGUUCCUACACUUAUGUACUUCAUUGCAAAUUUAACUGUGCAUAUAGUACAUUACUAGCCAAGGUAGUCAAUACUCAAUAGUAUUAUAUAUUUCUUCAUAUUGAAUAAGGCUCGCUUCAUAGCUUAACAUAUAUGUACCACAAUUUUAUUGUCCACUACAUUAUAUAGUACAUAAUCACAAUUGCUUACCACUUGCUGUUUCUUGACUAUUAAACUAUUUAGAUUAAAAUGACCAAUAUUUUCUACCUUCUUUUGCAAAUCAGUUUCAUUACAGCACUUCUGUUAAACUAAAGGUAUACUAUAGGGUAGAUUUAAGGUUAUGUAGUUCUGUUUUGGCGUUUUGUUUGAACCAGUUGGAUUAGUAUUAUGAAUCCACAUCCUUAGUUUAUUUUAUUGCAGAACACAAAUAGUUGCAUGGCUUAUGCCUGUUGGAGUUAAUAGGUGUUAAGGUAAAACAUGUAAGUAAAAAAGGUUCUCCAGGACUUGCAAUGAUGCACCUGUACACUGGAUCAAUCUGAUGGACCAGUAUCUGACUUUAGAAAUGACAAUAACCACACUGAUUUAGGAGACUCAAGAGUCAAGAUAUUUACUGGGUGGAGAGAGAAAACAUUAGUGUUAGAUUUAACGGCUAAGCUUUGUGUUUGCAUUUAACCAUUUGUAAAUGUGAAAGCAAUACUAUUUUUGACAGAAAAAUACAAUUUUGAUUAGUGUAUCUCGCACGGUUAACUUGAUUAAGAUCUAAAAUACUGCAACUUCAUUUGUACUAACCAUUAGAUGAUUUAGUUGCUCAGUGCCUGUUUGGGACUUCAUGUGAUAUAAUAACAUAAUAUAACCAGAUCGGCUUAUAUAUUAACCUUGGAGCUCAAUCACUAAGUCUUCUUCUGUAUUAUGACAUGGAUAUUUGGAAAUGACCAAGUGCAAUUCGAUUUACAUGUUCUAUUUAUGCUAUUUCUUGGUGUUGCUUUAAAACAACCAUUUAAGUAAUAGCUAUGAGAAAUAAAUUAGUGCCACUUAUUUUUCAUGAUUUUCAAUAUAUUUUUUGCUUUGUUGCUGUCAAAUCUCUUAGUAAACCUGAUAAAGAUAUAAAAUUAGAAAUUUGACUGCAGAUGCCAUAUAUAGUGGAUAGCUUUAUUACCACACUGGUGCCAAGCAAACCAAGUCAUAGUCAGCCAAACAUCUUUGAUAUGUUUUUACUCGAGUAUCUGAAAUAACCAAACAUUUUGGAGAUAUGUUAUCAUCAUUCUAUUGACCUCUUUGCAUACCUUGUUUGCAUGGUAUCAAUGCAAUGGAAUAUGCCUUCGAGGACUUUGCUGAAAGAUCACCUGCAAGUACAUCAAAAAUCAAGAGAUGAUUCUGGCCGCCAUGUAUUAUGACCACAGUGACUCGUGCUCAUCCAAUAUUCUUCGUUUCUCGUAUCUUAAUGGAAACCCUCACAGUAGCGUUGCCACCUUAUAUCGAAGGACAAGUUGUUUGAAGUUGGCUACCAAUUGGUGCCCUACUUUACCAAUUGUCAGAUGGAAGGGUUGAGCGUACAUUAAUCUGGAGAUGCUUAUCGAGUUUGUUGCAUGACAAGUCAAUAUAUUCUAUUGAUGUGGCCAAUAUUUGCACGAUAUGAUUUCUUGGCAAGUUUUAGUAACAUUUUAACUCAUUCUUCCAGACAAUAGUGCAAAUCGCCGAACUCUCUAUUUUACUUGUUUUGUUGUCAUGGAUGAAAGGUUUGCAAGACUUUGUUCCA